This 1278-nucleotide ribosomal RNA is filed under the name Luprops yunnanus. Its description in RNAcentral is "16S ribosomal RNA". The stretch from base 1037 to 1196 matches the Rfam family "Archaeal large subunit ribosomal RNA", at positions 2542 to 2701 of the family's 2987-position model. Lineage: Eukaryota; Metazoa; Arthropoda; Insecta; Coleoptera; Tenebrionidae. The record is from RNAcentral.
GUAUAAAGAUUUAUUUAAAUAGUUUUUUUUUUUUUUUUGAUGGAAGUAUACUUGUUUUUAGUAUUGGUUGAAUAAAUUAUUUUUAUUAUAGUUAAUUGUACUGUGAGGGAACAUUUUAGAUAUUUAUAAGAAGAUUUAAUUUAUUGUACCUUGUGUCUCAGGGUUGAUUAAUUUAUAAUUAAAUAUUUAGUUUUCCCGAAUUUAUAAGAGCUAAUUUGAUAUUUAUUUUAUUGUAAAAUUAAUAUUUAAAAUAUCAUAUUAGUAGUGAAACGUUAUUCGUUUAUAAAUAUAUCUGGUUUCUUAAGAAAAAAAUUCAAUUUUGCUUAAGUUAAUUUAAUUUUACUUUUUUUUUAGUUGGUUAAUUAAUUUUAGUACUAGUUAAGGGGAUAAGCUUUUAACUAUAAUACUAAAAAUUUUUUUUUAAUAGGUGAUUUAUAGGAUUAGAAUUUUCCAUUUUUGUAGAGGAUGUUAUAAUUAUUUACUUUAAUAUUAAUAUUUAUAUUAUUUUUAGGUUUUAUAUUAGGAAUUAAAAUUUAAUUGGUUUAUUUUAGUUAUAAUGAUUAAAUUAGUAUAAUUUUGUAUAUUUUUAUAUAUUUUCUUUAGGUAAUGGUAAGGAAUUCGGCAAAUUGAAUUUUCACCUGUUUAAUAAAAACAUGUCCUUUUGAGUAUAAUUUAAGGUCUUGCCUGCCCAGUGAUUAAUUUAACGGCCGCAGUAUUUUGACUGUGCAAAGGUAGCAUAAUCAUUAGUUUCUUAAUUAGAAGCUGGAAUGAAAGGUUUGAUGAAAAAUUGACUGUCUCACUAUUAUUGAUUUAGAAUUUUAUUUUUAAGUGAAAAAGCUUAAAUUUUAUAUAAAGACGAGAAGACCCUAUAGAGUUUUAUUUUUAAAUCUAAUUUUGUUUUAGGAUUUUUUAUGGAGUUGGGGUAUAAAAUUUUGUUGGGGUGAUAUAAAAAUUAUAUAAACUUUUUAUUUUUUUUUACAUUGAUUUAUGAAUUGAUGAUCCUUGAAUUUGGAUUAUAAGAAUAAAUUACCUUAGGGAUAACAGCGUAAUUUUUUUUGAAAGUUCUUAUUAAUAAAAAAGUUUGCGACCUCGAUGUUGGAUUAAAAUUUAAUUUUGGUGUAGAAGCUAAAGUGUUUAGGUCUGUUCGACCUUUAAAAUUUUACAUGAUCUGAGUUUAGACCGGCGUGAGCCAGGUUAGAUUCUAUCUUUUAUUUAAUUUAUUGCCUUAGUACGAAAGGACCAGGUAGUAUAAUAAUAUUAAUUAUUUUGAAUAUUAGU